This 492-nucleotide ribosomal RNA is filed under the name uncultured bacterium. RNAcentral describes it as "partial 16S ribosomal RNA". It matches the Rfam family "Bacterial small subunit ribosomal RNA", at positions 29 to 507 of the family's 1533-position model. The record is from RNAcentral.
AUUGAACGCUGGCGGCAUGCUUUACACAUGCAAGUCGAACGGUAACAGGCCUUCGGGUGCUGACGAGUGGCGAACGGGUGAGUAAUGCAUCGGAACGGACACAGAGGUGGGGGAUAACGCAGCGAAAGCUGUGCUAAUACCGCAUGUGAUCUGAGGUUGAAAGCGGGGGACCGAGCAGCAAUGUUUGGCCUCGCGCCUUUGGAGCGGCCGAUGUCGGAUUAGCUAGUUGGUGGGGUAACGGCCUACCAAGGCGACGAUCCGUAGCUGGUCUGAGAGGACGACCAGCCACACUGGGACUGAGACACGGCCCAGACUCCUACGGGAGGCAGCAGUGGGGAAUUUUGGACAAUGGGCGCAAGCCUGAUCCAGCAAUGCCGCGUGCGGGAAGAAGGCCUUCGGGUUGUAAAACGCUUUUGGCAGGAACGAAACGGUGUCCGCUAAUACCGGGCGGUAAUGACGGUACCUGCAGAAUAAGCACCGGCUAACUACGUG